Molecule: unclassified non-coding RNA, 247 nt
Filed under: uncultured fungus
Lineage: Eukaryota; Fungi
Description: sequence contains ITS1, 5.8S rRNA gene
Rfam family: 5.8S ribosomal RNA (bases 199-247)
Source: RNAcentral
UCUUCGUAGGUGAACCUGCGAAGGGAUCAUUACUGAGUUUAAGAGGUCUAAACAACCUCGAACUCCCACCCUUUUGUACGAAAAAUCCCUUUAAUCAUUAACGGGGGAUAUCAGCAUACGCAAGUAUGUUGUCCCCCGUGUGAACAAUUAUACUCUGUUUUAAUUAUAAGUCUGAGUCAAAAGUUUAAAUCUAAACAAAACUUUCAACAACGGAUCUCUUGGUUCUGGCAUCGAUGAAGAACGCAGC